UACGUAGGGGGCUAGCGUUGUCCGGAAUCAUUGGGCGUAAAGAGCGUGUAGGCGGUUCGGUAAGUCGGCUGUGAAAGUCCAGGGCUCAACCCUGGGAUGCCGGUCGAUACUGCCGGACUAGAGUUCGGAAGAGGCGAGUGGAAUUCCCGGUGUAGCGGUGAAAUGCGCAGAUAUCGGGAGGAGCACCUAUGGCGAAGGCAGCUCGCUGGGACGUUACUGACGCUGAGACGCGAAAGCGUGGGGAGCGAACAGG
This 253-nucleotide ribosomal RNA is filed under the name uncultured bacterium. Its description in RNAcentral is "partial 16S ribosomal RNA". It matches the Rfam family "Bacterial small subunit ribosomal RNA", at positions 524 to 776 of the family's 1533-position model. The record is from RNAcentral.